Molecule: ribosomal RNA, 492 nt
Filed under: uncultured bacterium
Lineage: Bacteria
Description: partial 16S ribosomal RNA
Rfam family: Bacterial small subunit ribosomal RNA
Source: RNAcentral
GAUGAACGCUAGCUACAGGCUUAACACAUGCAAGUCGAGGGGAAACGACAUCGAAAUCUUGCUUUUGAUGGGCGUCGACCGGCGCACGGGUGAGUAACGCGUAUCCAACCUGCCCAUCACUUGUGGAUAACCUUGCGAAAGUAAGACUAAUACCCAAUGAUAUCUCUAGAAGACAUCUGAAAGAGAUUAAAGAUUUAUCGGUGAUGGAUGGGGAUGCGUCUGAUUAGCUUGUUGGCGGGGUAACGGCCCACCAAGGCAACGAUCAGUAUGGGUUCUGAGAGGAAGGUCCACCACAUGGGAACUGAGACACGGACCAAAAGCCUACGGGAGGCAGCAGUGAGGAAUAUUGGUCAAUGGGCGAGAGCAUGAACCAGCCAAGUAGCGUGCAGGAAGACGGCGCUAGGGGUUGUAAACUGCUUUUAUAAGGGAAUAAAGUGAGAGUCGUGACUCUUUUUGUAUGUACCUGAUGAAUAAGGACCGGCUAAUUACGUG